Long non-coding RNA from Cucumis melo (muskmelon), 426 nucleotides. RefSeq lists it as uncharacterized. Lineage: Eukaryota; Viridiplantae; Streptophyta; Magnoliopsida; Cucurbitales; Cucurbitaceae. The record is from RefSeq and is a predicted model, not a curated record. The transcript is spliced from 3 exons.
AAAUAGUUGGUGGGUGUUCAUUUGACAACAGUGGCUCUCCCACAAUUAGGUCAAUCUUAGAAGAUUGAAUUGUGUUAUUAUCAUCAGAAUCAGAACAAGCAAAGAUCUUACUAGGGUCACUAUCGCUUCGUGGAAUUGAGAAUAAGUAUGGAACAUAAAGCAAGUUAUUCAAUGAGGUUGGUCAUAACUACAUUACUUGGGCAGCAAAAAUGGCCGUUGAACAAAAAACAGGAGUUCCAUUGGUUAUGUGGAAGGAAGAAGAUGCCCCUGAUCUGGUGAGAAAAGGAGGCGGUGACGUUCGAAAAGGAGGUUGCAACGUUCGAAUGUGGUUUUAAGGAGCAAAUAUGAUUGGUCGGUGGCGUUCAGGGAGAGCAGACAGGGACAUUUAGCAGAAAAGAUGGUUUUUGUGUUUCAAGGAAGGAAAGG